Molecule: ribosomal RNA, 253 nt
Filed under: uncultured bacterium
Lineage: Bacteria
Description: partial 16S ribosomal RNA
Rfam family: Bacterial small subunit ribosomal RNA
Source: RNAcentral
GACGUAGGGCGCGAGCGUUGUCCGGAUUUAUUGGGCGUAAAGAGCGUGUAGGCGGCCUGGUAGGUCAGCUGUGAAAACUCGAGGCUCAACCUCGAGACGCCGGUUGAAACCAUCAGGCUAGAGUCCGGAAGAGGAGAGUGGAAUUCCCGGUGUAGCGGUGAAAUGCGCAGAUAUCGGGAAGAACACCCGUGGCUAAGGCGGCUCUCUAGUACGGUACUGACGCUGAGACGCGAAAGCGUGGGGAGCGAACAGG